UUGGUGGAAAUAGUGUUCGGUCCCUCCUAUCAUCAUCGGGGACCUAGUGUAUCUAACACUGAGAAGUCAGACAGCGCACAAAAGUGUUUUCUAGCUAAGCAUUCGCAGAGAUCUCUAUUGAAGAGGAAUGCUGGGCUGGUCAAUUGAAAUCCAUUUGGUAUACGCCUCUUCUUAUGUCUAAUCAAUGUUGGGGUAAAGAUUACAAGAAGUGCGAGAAACGUGGUAUGAGAUACUGCGUUGGAGAUGGAAGCAGCAUUUUCAUAUACCAGUAUGAAAGAUAGCUGAUAUGCAUCGUGAUAAUUCUCAAGUCAAUGGAUCGUCUGCGAUACAACGGUGAAUUCGAUCUAAUGAUUAAGAGAUUACUAUAGCACAUAUGGUUGACUUGUAAAUAAAGCAAUGUGAACAUAAAAUACAUCUGAGUUACUGUUGCAAUUUAAUAU
This is a long non-coding RNA of Exaiptasia diaphana, 440 nucleotides long. RefSeq lists it as uncharacterized. The record is from RefSeq and is a predicted model, not a curated record. The transcript is spliced from 3 exons. Lineage: Eukaryota; Metazoa; Cnidaria; Anthozoa; Actiniaria; Aiptasiidae.